RNAcentral lists this ribosomal RNA (775 nucleotides) under uncultured Neocallimastigales. Its description in RNAcentral is "partial large subunit ribosomal RNA". It matches the Rfam family "Eukaryotic large subunit ribosomal RNA", at positions 22 to 621 of the family's 3401-position model. Lineage: Eukaryota; Fungi; Neocallimastigomycota; Neocallimastigomycetes; Neocallimastigales. The record is from RNAcentral.
UAUAUCAGUCAUGCAUAGCAUAUCAAUAAGCGGAGGAAAAGAAACUAACAAGGAUUCCCUUAGUAACGGCGAGUGAAGCGGGAAGAGCUCAAAUUUGAAAUCUUCAAGGUUUUACCUUGACGAAUUGUAGUUUAAAGAAGUGUUUUCUGUUGAAGUUUUGGUAAAAGUUCUUUGGAAUAGGACAUCAUAGAGGGUGAGAAUCCCGUAUUUGACCAUUACUUUCAGCUUUGUGAUACACUUUCAAAGAGUCGGAUUGUUUGGGAAUGCAGUCCAAAAUGGGUGGUAAAUUUCAUCUAAAGCUAAAUAUUGGCGAGAGACCGAUAGCGAACAAGUACCGUGAGGGAAAGAUGAAAAGAACUUUGAAAAGAGAGUUAAACAGUACGUGAAAUUGUCAAAAGGGAAGCGUUUGACACCAGUGUUGUUUUCUCGAAAAUCAAUUAAAAAGAGUUGGAUUUUGUGUUGUAUUGACUUUAUCGGCUUUCUUCACUCUUUUCCAGCUUUUUUUAAUGCACUUUUCGUUUAACAAGUCAACAUCAGUUUCUUUUGUUGUAAAAAGGUCAUUGGAAGGUGGCUUUCUCUUCGGAGAAAGUGUUUAUAGCCUUUGACUCAUGCAAUCGGAGAGACUGAGGUCUGCAGCGUAGAUCCUUCGGGGUUAGAUACAUUUGUGCUAAGUUAUAGCUUUUCAUAGACAACUUGUUGACUAUGUUUAGUCUUGUAGCUUACUCGCUUAUGCUAUUUUACCUACGCUUAGGAUGUUGAACUCUAUCACACACAG